Long non-coding RNA from Meriones unguiculatus (Mongolian gerbil), 1843 nucleotides. RefSeq lists it as uncharacterized. The transcript has 2 exons. NCBI's taxonomy places the organism in Eukaryota, Metazoa, Chordata, Mammalia, Rodentia, Muridae. The record is from RefSeq and is a predicted model, not a curated record.
CCAACUUCAGUGGCUAGCCCAAGGCAAAGGACCUGAAGGACAAUGCAAACCACCACUGUAAAAACCAGUGCACAUAAUGCAAGGAGGAAGGUCAUUGGGUCAGAUAUUGCCACAAAAAGGGACCCAGGAAUCAGAAUAAGUUCCUGGCUCUGGAGGAUCAGCAUUUGUGUUGAAGUUUGAAUUUGUCUCAGCAGAUUUUCACCUGGUUGAGACUGCAAGCUGAGAUCUGCACUUGCUGGAAGCUGACAUGAUUGCUCACUGCCUCCUUGGAUGGAUCACCUACCCAGACGUUUCUGAGGACUGCCCCACUGCGCAGCCUUUGGCUGGCAUUUGAGUCUUCCUAGCCCCUGAUGCCAACAGUGCUAUUGUCAUCAUUAAAGCAGUUUCAGAAGAAGAGACCACCGGCCCCAAAUCCCACCAACAGGCUGAAAUGCUAGGUCAAAGGGGACUCCUUGACAUUAGCUAUUAUCUUGGGGACAGGUUUUGCUGGAGCAUAAAUUAGUGUUCCAAUACUUGAUGUACAAAGCGAGAAUUAUAACAGCUCAAAAGCAGAAUCUUUUGCUAUUGGUCAUUUUUGGAUUAUGCUUACUUAAUAAGUUGUUAGGAUAUAUUAGGCAAAGACUGGAGACUAUACAGUUGAUGAUAAUUGGAACCCAGUACUGCCAGCUUGGAGAUGACCUUGAACUCUAAGAGCCCAUAUUGGCCUCUUCAGGUACAUGGAAAAGGAAAAAUAAAGAGUUUAAGUUAGCCUGGGCAUAGGUAGCCUGAGUAUAACUCCAUUUUUAAAAUAAAGAGCCAUCUUGACUGGGAGCUGAAUUCAGGUACCAGGUAAUAUCACAAAAUGUGCACCUGGCAGAAAACAAAGUUAACUCUCCUAGCAACAGCUUUCAGGAAAUAUCACAGAAUAAAUACUUCAUAGAAAAUAGAGACAAUCUCCCUGGCAAUAAUCAAUGAAAAUUGGUUGAGAAUCAUGUGGGAAAAUUCUCCCCAUGUUUCAGAUAUAGAUUAAAAGAAUAGCCAUUGUGAUCAUAAGUCUUAGGCAAUUGUGCCUAAGCCAAGCAUAUGCCUUAGGCAAUUGUGAUUCAGAGGUCUCCUCAGCCCUCUAACUUUUACCUAAUCCUGUAAUGUCAAGGCAUAGGACCCCAUUUGCUGUCAUAGAAACAUGUGCCCCCCUCUUUGUUGUCAUGGAAACACCCUGAUCACAGACUUUCCCUUUAAAAACCCUGCUCACUCAGGGCUCAAGGUUCCACUUCUCUACUACUGCAUCAGUGAGACUUGCUUCCCGAGUUUGAGUAUUCUCUUAAUAAAGCUCUCUUGCUAUUGCAUUGUUUUGUCUCUGAGGUUCCCAUGAACUUGGCAUUGCAAUAGCACUGAAGCUGAGAGGAGGCUGAGAGCUUUUUAAAAUUAAAUUCUGUUGCUGGAGCUGAGAGGAGGCUGAGAGCUUUUUAAAAUUAAAUUCUGUUGCUUUUGGGGAAGGUUAUAAUAUAGCCCAGGCUGGCCUUACUUCACUGUAGCCAAGGCUGGCAGGCCUGAAGAUUGCUCAAAGGCUGAACACAGGCUGGGAUGCAACCUGGAUCUCAAAGGUGUGAGGGGCCACCUGGGAAUGAGAAACAACUGUGAUUAUUUGAAUUGAAGCCAGGUGCAGAGAGCUCUUGAAGGGCGGGGUGAACUGUUCUGAGAAGCAACCAGCUGUAAACUAUCUACAACCAUCUGUAAACUAUAGAGCAGAGUGAUCUGAUUUUCAGGUAUAAAAACCCUGUGCUCUGCAUGUUCAGGGUCAUCUCCUGUCUUUGGAAAGGCAACCCUAUCUCGACAGCAAUAAAACCUCUUGCUUUGGCAUUGA